UACGAGGGGGGCUAGCGUUGUUCGGAUUUACUGGGCGUAAAGCGCACGUAGGCGGAUCGAUCAGUCAGGGGUGAAAUCCCAGGGCUCAACCCUGGAACUGCCUUUGAUACUGUCGAUCUGGAGUAUGGAAGAGGUGAGUGGAAUUCCGAGUGUAGAGGUGAAAUUCGUAGAUAUUCGGAGGAACACCAGUGGCGAAGGCGGCUCACUGGUCCAUUACUGACGCUGAGGUGCGAAAGCGUGGGGAGCAAACAGG
This 253-nucleotide ribosomal RNA is filed under the name uncultured bacterium. RNAcentral's name for it is "partial 16S ribosomal RNA". It matches the Rfam family "Bacterial small subunit ribosomal RNA", at positions 524 to 776 of the family's 1533-position model. The record is from RNAcentral.